RNAcentral lists this long non-coding RNA (2073 nucleotides) under Dasypus novemcinctus (nine-banded armadillo). RNAcentral describes it as "lncRNA (ENSDNOG00000052168.1)". The record is from RNAcentral. Lineage: Eukaryota; Metazoa; Chordata; Mammalia; Cingulata; Dasypodidae.
GGCUGCUGUUGCUGGGGUGGAGGGCAGACUUGAGUUUCCCACCCACGCCUGGCUGUUGCUGCAGUCGGGGGAGGGGAAAAGGGCAGACUGGAAUUUUCCGCCCUGCGCCUGCGCAGGGAGAAAGAAGAAGAAGGGUGCCGCCCCACAGGCAUCGUGUGGCGCCAUCCGGGAGGAGGGGCGGCCGCGGAAGCAUGGCUGCCGAGAAGGGGAGACCCGAGGGCACUCUGCGCCCAUGCCGAGCUUCCUUCAGGGGUGGCGGUGAGUCCGACCAGCCACCCUAUUAUGGGGGCAGCGGCUUGGCCUGCCGCGGCUGCUCCCCCGCCAGGCCAGCAAACCGCACUUCAGCCCGAGGGGUGACCGCAGCGAUGGGCUCCAGGCUCCUCUGCAGUGUGGCCCUUUGUCUCCUGGGAGCAGGUGCAGUGGAUUCUGAAGUCAUACAAACACCAAGUCACCUGAUUAGAACCAAGGACAGGAAGUGACACUGAAAUGUUCCCCUAUGUCCGGGCAUAACAAUGUCUACUGGUACCAACAGGCCAGAGGCCAGGAACCCCAGUUCCUGGUUAGAUAUUUCAAUGGGGAAGAGACUGAAAGAGGAAACAUCCCAAAUCGAUUCUCAGGUCUGCAGUUCGGUGACUAUCGCUCUGAGCCAACGUGAGCUCCUUGCAGCUGGAGGACUCAGCGCUGUAUCUUUGUGCCAGCAGCUUGGGCACAGCCCUGCAGAGUCACCAAUGUUCUGUGCGCAAACCUUCCUGCCUCAGCAGCAAGGAGCAACCUCAGAUCUGACACACCUGUGAGAAGCUAAAGACUACAGUAGGAAAGAAAAAUGGUUUAAAGUUCCUUCGAGGUGACACCUUCUACAGAGAAUGUUGCAGCAUCAACAGGUUUAUUAGAAAAAUAUCUUCUUUGUCUUUUACUGUAUGCUACAAAGAUAAGAAAAAUUUAAUCUCUGGUACCAUCUAUUUUUGGGAGGUCAAUUUCAUUUUAGGGUCAAAUUAUUUGAUUAGUGCCUAGUGUAAAAGCUACUAUGUGACUUCUCACACCAAACUUGCCUCCUCAUUGCACAGUCAUGUACUUUCCAAAACAAAAAUCUGUUUUUGUUACAUUGAUUAUAAACAUACAAAUACUCUCUGGUUUCCCGUGAAAUAAAUUCUACUUCCCUAUAAUAGGUGUUUAACACUUCACAACCAAAUUUAAUUUACCUUCUCAGCAUCACUCCUUGUCAGUUUUAAGAUGCAUCUUAACUCUGUGACUAGGCAGCCCUUCAAAUAAUUACCUAAGACCAAAGAUGUCUAUUAAAUUUUCUGCUUUUGCUCUUGCUAUUUCCACGGACUGAAAAGACCUUUUCUUCCCUGAAAACUUGGACAUAUACUAAUCAUAUUUCAAAGCCUGGUUCAAACAUGUCUUCCUUUUUACUUUUUACCAUGAAUCUCAAGGCAUUAUACUACAUUGCUCUCUUUACUUUCUGGUUUCUUUUUAAUUUUCACUCUGUUAAUUAAUUUUGAAUAAAUAAAAUAAUGACAAUGUUUUAAGAACCUAUAAAGAUAAAAAGUCCACAGUGAAAGCCUCCCUAAAGGCCUACUUUUUGCUAAUCCAGCUGCCUACCUCUUCUAGACUUCCAAGGGGAUAAUUGUCAUUAUUCACAUCUGUGUGCCCUUCUCAAAAAUUGUUAUACAUACCAAAAGAAGGUAAAAUAUAUAUUUCUUGGUUACCCCUACAUUUUGAAGAAAUGCAAAUAUUCUGUGCAUGCUGUUCAGAAAGGUUUUUUCCCCACUUGACAUAGCUUGGAUAUAUUGAACAUCUAGUAGGUGCCUGGCAACAUAAGAAGUUACUUGAGGAUAACACAAAUACUCUAUGUCGACUUUUCAUCACAAUAUACUCCUAGAAAUAGUCACAAUGUAGUCAUUAACUAGACCUUAUACUGACAUAUGAACAGUAAUGUAAUUGGGAGAUUACUUGCAUAGGAAAACCCUAGAACACAAUUAAUACUGUUAUUUCUGAAAAUAAAUUAAUAUGCACUUAUAAAGAACCAUGAAAUAUUAUUCCCUACAAACUGUUUCAUCUUUACAAGGGCCU